AUACAGAGGGUGCGAGCGUUAAUCGGAAUUACGGGGCGUAAAGCGCGCGUAGGCGGCUUAUUAAGUCAGAUGUGAAAUCCCCGGGCUCAACCUGGGAACUGCAUCUGAUACUGGUAAGCUAGAGUUUUGGAGAGGGAAGUAGAAUUUCAGGUGUAGCGGUGAAAUGCAUAGAGAUCUGAAGGAAUACCAGUGGCGAAGGCGACUUCCUGGUCAAAAACUGACGCUGAGGUGCGAAAGCGUGGGUAGCAAACAGGAUUAGAAACCCUAGUAGUCC
This 274-nucleotide ribosomal RNA is filed under the name uncultured bacterium. RNAcentral describes it as "partial 16S ribosomal RNA". It matches the Rfam family "Bacterial small subunit ribosomal RNA", at positions 523 to 796 of the family's 1533-position model. The record is from RNAcentral.